RNAcentral lists this transfer RNA (62 nucleotides) under Anadara kagoshimensis. RNAcentral's name for it is "tRNA-Tyr". The record is from RNAcentral. Lineage: Eukaryota; Metazoa; Mollusca; Bivalvia; Arcoida; Arcidae.
GGGGAUGAAGCUUAAAUUUAGCGUCUGAUUGUAGGUCAGAAAGUGGGGUAUUUUUAUCCCUC